Molecule: long non-coding RNA, 549 nt
Organism: Dromaius novaehollandiae (emu)
Lineage: Eukaryota; Metazoa; Chordata; Aves; Casuariiformes; Dromaiidae
Exons: 3
Source: RefSeq, a predicted model, not a curated record
UCGUCUGAGCUAAGCCUGAACAAACGCAACACACCUGUGAACUCUGUGGUGAAAAUGAAGCAGCAGCUGCAUCUUGGGGAGCUUGGAAUGUUUUAAGGCAAUGCCUCACCUCCUACUGUAGUUUUAUAUAAUAAAGCCUGUAUAUUCAGGAAGCUUCUGUCCUGUUUGUGCCUCCACCAGAAGAAAUGAAAUGAAGUUGUGCUGUCAUGGUUCUGGUUGUGCCUUCAGCUGAAGAAAUCAAAAAAAAGUUGUUCAUAUGUUGCCAUCAACCCAAGCUGCAUUUCCUUGGGGACAGGAUUCUCAGAUGGCAAGCAUUUCCUGGAACUAGGCCUGACCUAAUUCAAGUGCCUUUCUCCCAAGAAACAGAGCAACACAAGAGUUUUGUGGUUAACGCAGUCUGUGUUCUGGUCCUUUCAGACAGGCCUUGAAUCCUCUGACACAUCCCAGCUUUCACACAACUGAACUUACACCAGACAGCUGAGGUCUGCCAAGUCAUCAAUAAAGUCAAACAGCUGGCUGAUAUCGUAUGUAAUGGAUGGACUGUUGGGA